Molecule: unclassified non-coding RNA, 328 nt
Filed under: Zea mays
Lineage: Eukaryota; Viridiplantae; Streptophyta; Magnoliopsida; Poales; Poaceae
Description: misc RNA Zm00001eb391330
Source: RNAcentral
GCCGCUCACCCAACAAGGCAGCACCAGCUGCUUUUGGCCUAUCCGUGCCGCUCACCCAACAAGGCAGCAGCAGCAGCGGCUGCUUUUGGCCUCCUUUUUCUCGCACCUCGCAGCUCCUUCCCCCUCUCUGCGUCGUCUAUUCUCUUCUCUUGUUCAUUCAUCACGCGCAGGUGCCGGCGCUCAGCCAGUGCCGCCGCUCAAGAACAGGAAGAAAUACAGUACAGGAUGAAGUAAAACUCACACGCUGGAUGAACGAGAUCGGCGGCGGCGUGGAGAGUCGUGGAUGCCUCUCGACGAGAUCGGCGGCGGCGUGGAGAGCCGUGGAUGC